Molecule: ribosomal RNA, 404 nt
Filed under: Actinomycetes bacterium
Lineage: Bacteria; Bacillati; Actinomycetota; Actinomycetes
Description: Actinobacteria bacterium partial 16S ribosomal RNA
Rfam family: Bacterial small subunit ribosomal RNA
Source: RNAcentral
UGGGGAAUAUUGGACAAUGGGCGCAAGCCUGAUCCAGCCAUGCCGCGUGAGUGAUGAAGGCCCUAGGGUUGUAAAGCUCUUUCACCGGUGAAGAUAAUGACGGUAACCGGAGAAGAAGCCCCGGCUAACUUCGUGCCAGCAGCCGCGGUAAUACGAAGGGGGCUAGCGUUGUUCGGAUUUACUGGGCGUAAAGCGCACGUAGGCGGACUAUUAAGUCAGGGGUGAAAUCCCGGGGCUCAACCCCGGAACUGCCUUUGAUACUGGUAGUCUUGAGUUCGAGAGAGGUGAGGGGAAUUCCGAGUGUAGAGGUGAAAUUCGUAGAUAUUCGGAGGAACACCAGUGGCGAAGGCGGCUCACUGGCUGGCUACUGACGCUGAGGUGCGAAGGCGUGGUGAGCAAACAGG